RNAcentral lists this ribosomal RNA (468 nucleotides) under uncultured bacterium. RNAcentral's name for it is "partial 16S ribosomal RNA". It matches the Rfam family "Bacterial small subunit ribosomal RNA", at positions 28 to 507 of the family's 1533-position model. The record is from RNAcentral.
GACGAACGCUGGCGGCGUGCUUAACACAUGCAAGUCGAACGGAAAGGCCCUGCUUUUGUGGGGUGCUCGAGUGGCGAACGGGUGAGUAACACGUGAGUAACCUGCCCUUGACUUUGGGAUAACUUCAGGAAACUGGGGCUAAUACCGGAUAGGAGCUCCUGCUGCAUGGUGGGGGUUGGAAAGUUUCGGCGGUUGGGGAUGGACUCGCGGCUUAUCAGCUUGUUGGUGGGGUAGUGGUUUACCAAGGCUUUGACGGGUAGCCGGCCUGAGAGGGGGACCGGCCACAUUGGGACUGAGAUACGGCGCAGACGCCUACGGGAGGCAGCAGUGGGGAAUAUUGCACAAUGGGCGGAAGCCUGAUGCAGCAACGCCGCGUGCGGGAUGACGGCCUUCGGGUUGUAAACCGCUUUCGCAUGUGACGAAGCGUGAGUGACGGUAAUGGGUAAAGAAGCACCGGCUAACUACGUG